Molecule: long non-coding RNA, 1894 nt
Organism: Siniperca chuatsi (mandarin fish)
Lineage: Eukaryota; Metazoa; Chordata; Actinopteri; Centrarchiformes; Sinipercidae
Exons: 2
Source: RefSeq, a predicted model, not a curated record
UAACAGGGGGUGCAGAAGAGAGCGACCAGAGAACAGCUAUUGGUAGCAGAGAGCGUCAUAGUGGCUGGGCGUUGGGAAACAGCGGGAUGUGUCGGUGUGGUACGAGGACUGACGCUGGGAUGAGAUGUAAUUUACAGCGAGUGCUGUUUGAUUGUGGGACAGUGACGGUGAUACCACUGCUUAGUAUGAGUAUUGGGAUCACUUGACAUGACAGCCCUGCACUGACAAGCUUAUUGUACUUAAUCAUACAUGUGGUAAAUAUAACAUUAACAAUAAAUUAAUAGUCAUUCUCAGAAUAGAUUUUAAGAGGCUGCCCUCUCUUUAUUUUAUUGCUCAGUUCACAUUUUGCUUUUUCAUUAAGUGCAUUACUGGAGUGUUUAUCAAGUACUAUUCCAAGCUUUUCUACUCAGAAAUGAAUCCAAGCAUCCGGGAACUCAAAUUCUUUCUCAAUGAUUUGUUUUGGAAAAAAAAACAUAGUAUGCUUUUUGGGAAACUGGCAGCUGAUCUUUUUCAUAGCUAGAGGUCAACAUGACACUCAGUAUUAAUAAAACAAAUAAGACUAGGAUGGAUAUUAAUGAUGAUAUAUACAGAUGCACUGCGCAUGAGCUUGAAUUAUGUGUGAACAUGCUGAAGGAGAGCAAAGGAAAGACACUCACAGAUGUUUGUGUGUUUACUUGUCUGUGUGUGAUAGCCAGUCAGUUUCCCUCAUAUGUUCCCUUUGACUUUUGACCCCACAGUUGGGGUCAAGCCCUGACAAAUGAGAUGGUCGAGUUUUGGCCAGAACUGCAAACAUUCCACAACAAUCUUAUGUCCUCCUCCUCCCCUCAUAUCCGUCAUUCCUCACCCCUUCACUCCUCUCAGUAUGUCUCUUCCAUGACUUGGACAGAGUCAGAGAAAGUUCUCAUUACAAACAAACAUGUUUUAUUGUAUUUGCUGUGGUAAUUUUAAAGCACACACCCUUCAAAUUAAGAAUUACAACAUGGGUUCAAUUUAAUAUCCCUGACAUCUGCCUUGUUCACAGAAGGAAAGAAAACAAAAGAGUAUGGUUUUAGAGGAGAAGCUGUGUCAAAGAUUUGGAUAUUACAACCCUGCACUUUGAAAGCACACUGUGUGUGUUUGGAAAGCUUGUCAGUGAUGUCAAGGAUGAGAAAUGUUGCAGUGUGGUUUUUUACACACGCUGCUGGCUCUAGCAUUUCCGGCAACAUUUCUCACUCUGCCUCCCUCACACCAUCCGCUCUGCUGCAAUAUCCCCACAUUUUUUCAUCCUUUCACUUUUUCCCCUACUCUCCCUCCCUCUCUGUUUGCCUUCUCUCCGCUCUCUGACCACUCUUGCUCCCUUUACCCUUCCUCUCUGCUGCACCACCCUGCCCAAUCUCAGCCUCUCCCUCCCUUCUCUCUCCUCCCAGCACAUUCACUCACUCACCCCCCUCCUUCCCUUUUUCCUCCACCCACUAUUUUUUCAGAUUUUCAAACAUGCCGUUCCACAGAAUGCUACCACCUGUGUCUUUAGGGGGAAAAGGGGGGCUAUGGGGGCUUCCUCUUCAGGAAGCUGGUUAAGGUAAGUGGAACCCUCUAUUACAAUGACACGGCAAAUAAUGGUUCUGCUUGUUGUGUUUCUGUAUUAACUUUUUUUCAUGGAAUGACCCCGGCUUCCUAAGCAUCACUACCCUCCAUCAGAGCUCUAGCUACAAGUCACUGCUGUAAAAACACACACAGUCACCAUCAAUGAACGUCAGCAGAGCAGAGUGCCACAAAAGGAGCCUAGAGACCAACAGAGCCGGCUGAUAGUAACAUCGAGUGGAUCAUGCUCUUGAACUUGCUUUCAUAAUGAUGUAAUAUUACUAAAAGGCAAUGCAACACAGCAAAGAUCUUAAUAAAAACACAUCAAUCUCGA